ACGCUCGACACCUACUGGAGGCAGCAGUGGGGAAUAUUGCACAAUGGGGGAAACCCUGAUGCAGCGACGCCGCGUGAGUGAAGAAGUAUUUCGGUAUGUAAAGCUCUAUCAGCAGGGAAGAAGAUGACGGUACCUGAGUAAGAAGCCCCGGCUAACUACGUGCCAGCAGCCACGGUAAUCUGAGCGGGCUGGCAAGGC
This 198-nucleotide ribosomal RNA is filed under the name uncultured bacterium. Its description in RNAcentral is "partial 16S ribosomal RNA". It matches the Rfam family "Bacterial small subunit ribosomal RNA", at positions 328 to 539 of the family's 1533-position model. The record is from RNAcentral.